Molecule: transfer RNA, 72 nt
Filed under: Bacteroidales bacterium WCE2004
Lineage: Bacteria; Pseudomonadati; Bacteroidota; Bacteroidia; Bacteroidales
Also listed under: 4 other names
Rfam family: tRNA
About the family: Transfer RNA (tRNA) molecules are approximately 80 nucleotides in length. Their secondary structure includes four short double-helical elements and three loops (D, anti-codon, and T loops).
Source: Rfam by way of RNAcentral
GGCUCUGUAGUUCAACGGAUAGAAUAGUGGUUUCCUAAACCAUAGAUAGCAGUUCGAUUCUGCUCGGAGCUA